Small nucleolar RNA from Bombina bombina (fire-bellied toad), 80 nucleotides. RefSeq annotates it as small nucleolar RNA SNORD60. The record is from RefSeq and is a predicted model, not a curated record. NCBI's taxonomy places the organism in Eukaryota, Metazoa, Chordata, Amphibia, Anura, Bombinatoridae. The transcript has a single exon.
UGCCUGUGAUGUACCCGAAUAUCUGACACCUCAUAUGAAACUGUAAAACAGCUUCUUGAUUAUCCUUUGGGCUGAGGCAU